GACGAACGCUGGCGGUGUGCUUAACACAUGCAAGUCGAACGGAAAGGCCCUGCUUGCAGGGUACUCGAGUGGCGAACGGGUGAGUAACACGUGGGUGAUCUGCCCUGCACUUCGGGAUAAGCCUGGGAAACUGGGUCUAAUACCGGAUAGGAGCCAUUUUUAGUGUGAUGGUUGGAAAGUUUUUUCGGUGUAGGAUGAGCUCGCGGCCUAUCAGCUUGUUGGUGGGGUAAUGGCCUACCAAGGCGGCGACGGGUAGCCGGCCUGAGAGGGUGGACGGCCACAUUGGGACUGAGAUACGGCCCAGACUCCUACGGGAGGCAGCAGUGGGGAAUAUUGCACAAUGGGCGCAAGCCUGAUGCAGAGACGCCGCGUGGGGGAUGACGGCCUUCGGGUUGUAAACUCCUUUCGCUAGGGACGAAGCUUUUUGUGACGGUACCUAGAUAAGAAGCACCGGCUAACUACGUG
This 465-nucleotide ribosomal RNA is filed under the name uncultured bacterium. RNAcentral's name for it is "partial 16S ribosomal RNA". It matches the Rfam family "Bacterial small subunit ribosomal RNA", at positions 28 to 507 of the family's 1533-position model. The record is from RNAcentral.